UGGGGAAUAUUGCACAAUGGGCGCAAGCCUGAUGCAGCCAUGCCGCGUGUGUGAAGAAGGCCUUCGGGUUGUAAAGCACUUUCAGCGAGGAGGAAGGCAUUAAGGUUAAUAACCUUAGUGAUUGACGUUACUCGCAGAAGAAGCACCGGCUAACUCCGUGCCAGCAGCCGCGGUAAUACGGAGGGUGCAAGCGUUAAUCGGAAUUACUGGGCGUAAAGCGCAUGCAGGCGGUUUGUUAAGUCAGAUGUGAAAUCCCCGAGCUUAACUUGGGAGCUGCAUUUGAAACUGGCAAGCUAGAGUCUUGUAGAGGGGGGUAGAAUUCCAGGUGUAGCGGUGAAAUGCGUAGAGAUCUGGAGGAAUACCGGUGGCGAAGGCGGCCCCCCUGGACAA
RNAcentral lists this ribosomal RNA (390 nucleotides) under uncultured bacterium. Its description in RNAcentral is "partial 16S ribosomal RNA". It matches the Rfam family "Bacterial small subunit ribosomal RNA", at positions 355 to 736 of the family's 1533-position model. The record is from RNAcentral.